UUGUAAAGGUAUAUUUAGCCGUAAGGGCUUGUACUUCAAAAGAAGGUAUACCGAGGAA
Molecule: non-coding RNA, 58 nt
Filed under: unclassified sequences
Description: S4-Fusobacteriales ribosomal protein leader
Rfam family: S4-Fusobacteriales ribosomal protein leader
Source: RNAcentral